CCUACGGGUGGCUGCAGUGGGGAAUAUUGGACAAUGGGCGAAAGCCUGAUCCAGCCAUGCCGCGUGUGUGAAGAAGGCCUUCGGGUUGUAAAGCACUUUCAGUGGGGAAGAAAGCCUUGGGGCUAAUACCCUCGAGGAAGGACAUCACCCACAGAAGAAGCACCGGCUAACUCCGUGCCAGCAGCCGCGGUAAUACGGAGGGUGCGAGCGUUAAUCGGAAUUACUGGGCGUAAAGCGCGCGUAGGCGGUCUGAUAAGCCGGUUGUGAAAGCCCCGGGCUCAACCUGGGAACGGCAUCCGGAACUGUCAGGCUAGAGUGUAGGAGAGGAAGGUAGAAUUCCCGGUGUAGCAGUGAAAUGCGUAGAGAUCGGGAGGAAUACCAGUGGCGAAGGCGGCCUUCUGGACUGACACUGACGCUGAGGUGCGAAAGCGUGGGUAGCAAACAGGAUUAGAUACCCGAGUAGUC
RNAcentral lists this ribosomal RNA (465 nucleotides) under Vreelandella stevensii. RNAcentral's name for it is "partial 16S ribosomal RNA". It matches the Rfam family "Bacterial small subunit ribosomal RNA", at positions 338 to 795 of the family's 1533-position model. The record is from RNAcentral. Lineage: Bacteria; Pseudomonadati; Pseudomonadota; Gammaproteobacteria; Oceanospirillales; Halomonadaceae.